RNAcentral lists this ribosomal RNA (301 nucleotides) under uncultured bacterium. RNAcentral's name for it is "partial 16S ribosomal RNA". It matches the Rfam family "Bacterial small subunit ribosomal RNA", at positions 509 to 807 of the family's 1533-position model. The record is from RNAcentral.
CAGCAGCCACGGUAACACGUAGGGUGCAAGCGUUGUCCGGAAUUACUGGGCGUAAAGCGUGCGCAGGCGGUUCGUUAAGACAGAUGUGAAAUCCCCGGGCUUAACCUGGGAACUGCAUUCGUGACUGGCGAGCUAGAGUACGGCAGAGGGGGAUGGAAUUCCGCGUGUAGCAGUGAAAUGCGCAGAUAUGCGGAGGAACACCGAUGGCGAAGGCAAUCCCCUGGGCCUGUACUGACGCUCAUGCACGAAAGCGUGGGGAGCAAACAGGAUUAGAUACCCCAGUAGUCCCUGUCUCUUAUAC